UACGAACGCUGGCGGCGUGCUUAACACAUGCAAGUCGAACGGAAAGGCCCCUUCGGGGGUACUCGAGUGGCGAACGGGUGAGUAACACGUGAGUAACCUGCCCUUGACUUCGGGAUAACUUCAGGAAACUGGGGCUAAUACCGGAUAGGAAUCCUUGCUGCAUGGUGGGGGUUGGAAAGCUUCGGCGGUUUUGGAUGGACUCGCGGCUUAUCAGCUUGUUGGUGGGGUAGUGGCUUACCAAGGCUUUGACGGGUAGCCGGCCUGAGAGGGCGACCGGCCACAUUGGGACUGAGAUACGGCCCAGACUCCUACGGGAGGCAGCAGUGGGGAAUAUUGCACAAUGGGCGGAAGCCUGAUGCGGCAACGCCGCGUGCGGGAUGACGGCCUUCGGGUUGUAAACCGCUUUCAGCAGGGGCGAAGCUUGUGGUGACGGUACCCGCAGAAGAAGCACCGGCUAACUACGUG
This 465-nucleotide ribosomal RNA is filed under the name uncultured bacterium. Its description in RNAcentral is "partial 16S ribosomal RNA". It matches the Rfam family "Bacterial small subunit ribosomal RNA", at positions 29 to 507 of the family's 1533-position model. The record is from RNAcentral.